UGGGGAAUAUUGCGCAAUGGGCGGAAGCCUGACGCAGCGACGCCGCGUGGGGGAUGAAGGCCUUCGGGUUGUAAACCUCUUUCAGCAGGGAAGAAGCGUGAGUGACGGUACCUGCAGAAGAAGCACCGGCUAACUACGUGCCAGCAGCCGCGGUAAUACGUAGGGUGCAAGCGUUGUCCGGAAUUAUUGGGCGUAAAGAGCUCGUAGGCGGUCUGUCGCGUCUGCUGUGAAAACUCGGGGCUUAACCCCGGGCCUGCAGUGGGUACGGGCAGACUAGAGUGCGGUAGGGGAGACUGGAAUUCCUGGUGUAGCGGUGAAAUGCGCAGAUAUCAGGAGGAACACCGGUGGCGAAGGCGGGUCUCUGGGCCGUAACUGACGCUGAGGAGCGAAAGCGUGGGGAGCGAACA
This 407-nucleotide ribosomal RNA is filed under the name uncultured bacterium. RNAcentral describes it as "bacterial SSU rRNA". It matches the Rfam family "Bacterial small subunit ribosomal RNA", at positions 355 to 774 of the family's 1533-position model. The record is from RNAcentral.